This is a non-coding RNA of Dama dama (fallow deer), 74 nucleotides long. NCBI's taxonomy places the organism in Eukaryota, Metazoa, Chordata, Mammalia, Artiodactyla, Cervidae. The record is from the annotation of a RefSeq genome assembly.
UCCCCCUGGUGGCUCAGAUGGUAAAGCGUCUGCCUACAAAGCAGGAGACCCAGGUUCAAUCCCUGGGUUGGGAA